AAGAUAAUAUCACCGAAGGUGAGUUAUACUUUUCGUAGUGUCAUUUGUUAUAUUUUUCACAACUGCCUGGAUCCGAAGUGGACCGGGACGGUGAC
Molecule: non-coding RNA, 95 nt
Organism: Megasphaera sp. DJF_B143
Lineage: Bacteria; Bacillati; Bacillota; Negativicutes; Veillonellales; Veillonellaceae
Source: Rfam